Nothoprocta perdicaria is the source of this 638-nucleotide long non-coding RNA. RefSeq lists it as uncharacterized. The transcript has 2 exons. The record is from RefSeq and is a predicted model, not a curated record. Lineage: Eukaryota; Metazoa; Chordata; Aves; Tinamiformes; Tinamidae.
AGGAAGCAGGUGCUUGUUUGUGUGGACAGCAGUGCUGUAGAGCUUGUUACAUCAUUAUCAGCACUCUGUAUGGCAACCAGAGUAAGUCAUUUGUCUCUGCAAAUGUUUCUGGUUUCUAGGAUCAGCAGGAUAACACCAUGAACUCCUCCAGGAGCCCACAUCCAUGUCAAGGCACGGGAAUGAAGGCAUUGCUCUCUGAGAAGCAAGCAGCAACAUCAGUAGGUUGAUAGGUUCAAACCACUGGCAUCUUCCUCUUGUUGGAAAAGCCUAURUUCUGGCAUUACGGCCAUCCUCAGACAGAGGAUCUUCACCCCUGCUUUCACCAGGAUCUUAAGGAGUCAGAACCUGGCAUAUCUGGAGAACACAAGGAUGGGGAGUGGCAGCUGCUGGAAGUUAUAAACAGGAUCUGCACACACUGAGAGCCAGCGAUGAAAAGUUAAAUGAAUUUUGCUGAAGCUGUUGGGAAUUCCUCACCUCUCAGCGACUUGAGCUAUUGAGCAUCUGCAACUGGAAGGUCAUAAGGGAAACUACUGGGGACUGUAGCUACUGCCACCAUUCCUGACACUACUUCAAGAGCAUUCAAGGUGUCCUGCAAAGCGGGUACGACUGGCUGCUGUUUAUAACAUUUGUUCCUUCCU